Molecule: ribosomal RNA, 253 nt
Filed under: uncultured bacterium
Lineage: Bacteria
Description: partial 16S ribosomal RNA
Rfam family: Bacterial small subunit ribosomal RNA
Source: RNAcentral
UACAGGGGGUGCAAACGUUGCUCGGAAUCAUUGGGCGUAAAGCGCACGUAGGCGGUUCGUUAUGUCGGAUGUGAAAGCCCUUGGCUUAACCGAGGAAGUGCAUCCGAAACUGGCGAGCUAGAGUACUAAAGAGGAUCGCGGAAUUCCCGGUGUAGAGGUGAAAUUCGUAGAUAUUGGGAAGAACACCGGUGGCGAAGGCGGCUCUCUGGACCGAUACUGACGCUGAGGCGCGAAAGCGUGGGGAGCAAACAGG